AAAGCGCCCAUGUGCUUCUCUCUCUCUCUCUGAUGGCGUUUUCAUGGCCGCUGGACCUUUCUCACCUCCACUCGCCCACUCUCCACAGCCCCACCAUCCGUACGAUUGGAUUUCCUUACCCGCCAUCACCUUCCAACCAUCUCACUAACCGCCCUUUCCACUUCCCAACCUUCACUCCCCAACAAAUCCCAUCCCUUCAUCACCACUACCACAAAACCCCACGACCGACGGCUGAAAAUCACAGCCGCCCACUUCAACAUCUCAUUCCAACCGCUCAUCUCCCCUCACGAUCAUUGGGGAAUAUGGACCUCUCUCUUCACAGACGGUGCAUUCGGCCUCUGGCUGGAGAAGACGAAAGUGCGGAGAGCGCUGAGCCGCGCCCUGGUCAGCACUCUGGUGGCGCUCGCCACGACCAACCUCAGCAUCAUUGCUAGUGAGGUCCCGGUGUAUUCUGUUGUCUUGGAGUAUCUGCUGCCCAUCACCCUUCACUUGCUGCUCUUCCGAGCAGAUCUGCGUCGCAUCCUGCAGUCCAUCAGGACGCUGCUUCUGGUCUUCUUGCUUGGAUAAGCUUACAGGGGAGUUGUUGGAUCAUGUAACUAGCUGGGAUGUUGGAACAUAAUCUAUUGUUGCAGUUUGAUGUAGACCAAUGUAUUUGGAAAAGUUGCACCAGUCCUCUAUCUAGACCAGUGUAUUUGGAUGUAAGCUAUUGGAGAUUGCAAUUUGUUAUUGAUUGUGCUUAACAGAUGAGUUUUAUUUCUCUGGCCUACUGAUCACAAUCUACGAUGGUAAACAACUUUUUGAAUUUGAUUGGGCUCACAUGAUAAGAUCUUGCCUUGUAUUGUUGUGGAUGAUUCACAAAGAACAACACUUAACAAUUGGCCGAUGCAAAAAUGAAGAAAUUUACAAAAGAUGCUAUCAAAUUCAAAAUGGAUGACAGUAUGUGGAUUCAUAAUUUUGCAUUUAUGUUUUAAUUGACACGAGCAUAAAGUUUGAAGUUUACUGUUUUUCUUUGGUUUUUCUAUGAAUGAAGCAUACCUUUAAUGUCAU
Long non-coding RNA from Magnolia sinica, 1047 nucleotides. RefSeq lists it as uncharacterized. The record is from RefSeq and is a predicted model, not a curated record. NCBI's taxonomy places the organism in Eukaryota, Viridiplantae, Streptophyta, Magnoliopsida, Magnoliales, Magnoliaceae. The transcript has 3 exons.